AAUGGGAGAGAGGAGGAGAGAGCGGAGGUCGGCCUGGUGGUCGUCGGUGUCGGCUGCGGGCUGCUCCGGCGCUCGGUGACCGGUCGGCAUGGGGUCGGGUCUCGGUCGGGAGUUGCUCCCCUGAUCGAGAUCAAAUCGAGGAGGGUGCGAGGAGAACCCGUGGGCCGUCAGAUUUCGGUCUGGACGGUCUAAAUCGAAGGGGAGGGACUGGCUAUGGCUGAUGGAGGCUGAAACGACGGAGGUUGUCAGGGAGGAUCCCGAGGAAGAUGUAGGCUGGCGACGGCUGCGGGAUAAGACCUACUCCCUCCGUUCCAGUCUUUUAAGCGAUUUUACAAGAUGUCUAUAUACAGAGCAAAAUGAUUGAAUAUACACUCUAAAGUAUGUCUAUAUACAUCCGUAUGUAGUUCACUAGUGAAAUCUCUAUAAAGACUUAUAUUU
This 438-nucleotide long non-coding RNA is filed under the name Hordeum vulgare. RNAcentral's name for it is "long non-coding RNA (HVUL_LNC001205)". The record is from RNAcentral. Lineage: Eukaryota; Viridiplantae; Streptophyta; Magnoliopsida; Poales; Poaceae.